UUUUAAUCUUUUCAGAGGAACCUGUUCAAUAAUUGAUAAUCCACGAUUGAAUUAACCUAAAUUAGAAAUUUUUAUAUCGUCGUUAUUAAAUAUUUUAUAAGAAUAUAAUAUUUAAGAAUUUUUUAAAAAAAUAUCUCAGAUCAAGGUGAAGUUUAUAUUUAGGAUGAAAUGGGUUACAUUAAAUUUUAUUUAUGGAUUUAAAUUUUGAAAAUAAUUAUGAAACUGGAUUUGAAAGUAAUUAGUUAUAC
RNAcentral lists this ribosomal RNA (248 nucleotides) under Calvia muiri. Its description in RNAcentral is "partial 12S ribosomal RNA". Lineage: Eukaryota; Metazoa; Arthropoda; Insecta; Coleoptera; Coccinellidae. The record is from RNAcentral.